This 405-nucleotide ribosomal RNA is filed under the name uncultured bacterium. RNAcentral describes it as "bacterial SSU rRNA". It matches the Rfam family "Bacterial small subunit ribosomal RNA", at positions 355 to 774 of the family's 1533-position model. The record is from RNAcentral.
UGAGGAAUAUUUGCACAAUGGAGGGAAAACUCUGAUGCAGCAACGCCGCGUGGAGGAUGACGCAUUUCGGUGUGUAAACUCCUUUUAUGAGUCAAGAAAAUGACGGUAGCUCAUGAAUAAGCACCGGCUAACUCCGUGCCAGCAGCCGCGGUAAUACGGAGGGUGCAAGCGUUAUUCGGAAUCACUGGGCGUAAAGGACGCGUAGGCGGGAAGCCAAGUCUGAUGUGAAAUCCUAUGGCUUAACCAUAGAACUGCAUUGGAAACUGGUUACCUAGAGUAUGGGAGGGGGAGAUGGAAUUAGUGGUGUAGGGGUAAAAUCCGUAGAUAUCACUAGGAAUACCGAAAGCGAAGGCGAUCUCCUGGAACAAUACUGACGCUAAGGCGUGAAAGCGUGGGGAGCAAACG